This is a long non-coding RNA of Musa acuminata AAA Group (dessert banana), 454 nucleotides long. RefSeq lists it as uncharacterized. The transcript is spliced from 2 exons. The record is from RefSeq and is a predicted model, not a curated record. Lineage: Eukaryota; Viridiplantae; Streptophyta; Magnoliopsida; Zingiberales; Musaceae.
UGGCUAAGAUCAAGUGUAGUAUCUGUUCUUAUCAGUUUAAUAUCUGAUACGUGGGUCAUCGACCCACUAUGAUAUUAAAUUAAUUUUUUUUUGGGGGGAGGGUCCACUACAGUGGCUAGCCACUGGGUCCCUCGUGCGUCGUCCAUCCGUUGCACUGCUGCAUGGGCCAGGCGCACCCCGACCAAUUCAUAUGUACAAACGUUUCUACUGCAGCUGCGAUGACCUUUAUGAGCGGACGAUGGAUGACUUGAAUGACACAUGAAGACUCCAUAUCAAUUGUGCUAAAUUUUCUAUAUCAAUAUCCAAUGUAUUAAACAAAAUAUUGUUUAACAAGAUAUCAUACUCGGGAACAUAAAGAUCGUACUGCAUUUUAAUUCACCCAAAUUAAAUCUUGCGGAGUUUCUUCAUCGACAUAAUUUAUAGAAGAGCUGCAAAUGAGAAGCACUUGAAUUCA